GGGUGACGAAGCGACGCCGCGUGGGUGAGGAAGGCCUUCGGGUUGUAAAGCCCUGUCAGGAGUUAAGAAAUGUAGACUCGCUAAUAUCGGGUCUAUUUGACAAAGGCUCCAAAGGAAGCCACGGCUAACUCUGUGCCAGCAGCCGCGGUAAUACAGAGGUGGCAAGCGUUGUUCGGAAUUAUUGGGCGUAAAGAGCACGUAGGUGGAUUUGUAGGUCAGACGUGAAAGCCUUCUGUUCAACGGAGGAAUUGCAUCUGAAACUACAAACCUUGAGUGUAGGAGGGGAGAAUGGAACUUCUGGUGGAGCGGUGAAAUGCGUAGAUAUCAGAAGGAACGUCGGCGGCGAAAGCGACUCUCUGGCCUAUUACUGACACUGAGUGUGCGAAAGUUAGGGGAGCAAACGGGAUUAGAUACCCCGGUAGUCCUAACUGUAAACGAUGGGCACUAAGUAGAGG
Molecule: ribosomal RNA, 455 nt
Filed under: uncultured anaerobic ammonium-oxidizing bacterium
Lineage: Bacteria
Description: bacterial SSU rRNA
Rfam family: Bacterial small subunit ribosomal RNA
Source: RNAcentral